UACGUAGGGUGCAAGCGUUGUCCGGAAUUAUUGGGCGUAAAGAGCUCGUAGGCGGCUUGUCGCGUCGGCUGUGAAAACUCGGGGCUCAACCCCGAGCCUGCAGUCGAUACGGGCAGGCUAGAGUCCGGCAGGGGAGACUGGAAUUCCUGGUGUAGCGGUGAAAUGCGCAGAUAUCAGGAGGAACACCGGUGGCGAAGGCGGAUCUCUGGGCCGUAACUGACGCUGAGGAGCGAAAGCUAGGGGAGCGAACGGG
Molecule: ribosomal RNA, 253 nt
Filed under: uncultured bacterium
Lineage: Bacteria
Description: partial 16S ribosomal RNA
Rfam family: Bacterial small subunit ribosomal RNA
Source: RNAcentral